CGGCGUUCCGAGGGGAGCUCCGGCAGGGAGCUGAGAUACCGCCAUAUCGCGAAUGCGACAGCGCGGUGACCCUUUGAACCUGAUCCGGGUCAUGCCGGCGAAGGGACAGGGAUGAAUCAGCAA
This 123-nucleotide non-coding RNA is filed under the name Hyphomicrobiales bacterium. RNAcentral describes it as "Rhizobiales bacterium TPP sequence". It matches the Rfam family "TPP riboswitch aptamer (THI element)". Rfam says of the family: Vitamin B(1) in its active form thiamin pyrophosphate (TPP) is an essential coenzyme that is synthesised by coupling of pyrimidine and thiazole moieties in bacteria. The previously detected thiamin-regulatory element, thi box was extended, resulting in a new, highly conserved RNA secondary structure, the THI element, which is widely distributed in eubacteria and also occurs in some archaea. Analysis of operon structures identified a large number of new candidate thiamin-regulated genes, mostly transporters, in various prokaryotic organisms. Lineage: Bacteria; Pseudomonadati; Pseudomonadota; Alphaproteobacteria; Hyphomicrobiales. The record is from RNAcentral.